GAGGAUGAAGGAGAAAAGGGGGACAAAAGCAACAUCGAUAAAGAAUGAUUGGAGGUAGAGGGAGCCAUCAUAGAGGAGAAAGGCAUAUGGGCAAGCUUAGAAGAGGAAGAGGAUGAGAAGGAGGAGAAGAAGUGGGUGAUAAGGAAGAGAAGGAGGGGGAAGGGGAGUCACUGGUGAGGAAUGAGUGGAGAUGGAGAGAUCCAUCAUGAAGGAAGAGAAGUGGAUGAUGAGGAAUGAAAAGAGGGAGGAG
RNAcentral lists this long non-coding RNA (250 nucleotides) under Elaeis guineensis (African oil palm). RNAcentral's name for it is "long non-coding RNA (EGUI_LNC082891)". Lineage: Eukaryota; Viridiplantae; Streptophyta; Magnoliopsida; Arecales; Arecaceae. The record is from RNAcentral.